GUGGGCAGGUGCUGGAGCUGGCCCUCCCGCCCGAGACUAGAGGAAGGGCCCGGGGCGUGGGAGGGGCUCCACCUAGGGCAGCCCCCAGGCUCCUGUCUCAGGGAUGAAUGUGGCCUGGGGGCGUCCCCGGGGAAGGUGGGGAGGGCUGCUCUGGGAGACAUCUUGGGGGGCAGGGGAGCCGGGCUCCGCUCAGGGCGAGGUUUUUGGAGCGACGGCACCUGAACGCCCCCCUCCAUUCUCUCCUCUUUAACUUUGCUCGUUCCUUCUCUCUUGGCCCCUGGGCUUGGGGCCACAGCCCCCUGGAGUAGGUACAGUAACAGGAGGCCGCACCCCGUCUCCACACGACCCUUCCUCCUGCUUAGAAGGGUCUCCCGGACGCGCCCACGUGGGGGGUGUCUGCCUCACCUUCUACCUCAGGUCUGACUCUCGAUGCCAAACCCCGUGCCCUGCCCCCCCCGCACUCCCCUCCACCUGGAAGGCUGUGGGCCCGCUUUGUGGGUGCGCGCGCGCGUCUUCAUGCGUGUCCUUGCGUUGGGACCCAUGUGGCCUCCAGAGGUAACUCGGGGUGCGGCCUGCUGUGCUGUGAUGAUUGUAGGGGACAGGUGGGGGCGGGGCGGGGGGCCUGGCCAGCCCCAGGGGCGGCCGUGCCCGGUGACCCACCCUCGCUGGGAAUGCGAGUGGGGUCCUCCCCUGUCUCUGCUCUCGGUGCCCGUGCAACCCCCUGUCCCUCCUGUCCCUGGAGCGUAGGAAAGGGGGGCUUUCGGGGGUGCAGAGCCGUGCCCCCUCUGAAGCCCCAGGCAGGAGAGGACGGGGGGCAGCUGUCUGUGCCCUCGGCCCGCUCAUUCCUGAGCGAGCUUCGCAGGGGGAGGGCGGGGACCCCAAACAGGGUGGAGAGGAGCUCUCUGGGGCUCCCCUGCUGGAGAUGAUGCUUCCAGAAGCUUCCAUGGGACCCCGAGCCAGGAGCCGGGCAGCGGGGUGGGGCAGCAUGUCCCUUUCCGUAGUUCUGCCUUCGUACACCCCUUUCCCAUCCUGACCGCUCUCGUCCACUUUGGCGUUUCUCUCCCUUUACUUUUGCUUUUGCAUUUUUUUUCUUGGCAAACAUGAAUGCAGCCUUUCAUUCCUGACAUGUGAAAUUUCAGUUUCUCGGGUUCGUCAGACGGCGUGGGUCCUGCGCCAGCACUCAGGUUAAAGCGAAAAAAAACUUUUUAAAAAAUAGGUUUAAACGACUCUACCUCUGGCCGGGCCUGGCCUUGUCGCCCUGGCCAGGGCGGCCUGUACCGAUUUCAGUUUUUGCAGAACAUUCAGGUAUUAAAAGGGAAAAAAAAAAAAAAAAAAAAA
Mustela erminea (ermine) is the source of this 1338-nucleotide long non-coding RNA. RefSeq lists it as uncharacterized. The transcript has 2 exons. The record is from RefSeq and is a predicted model, not a curated record. Lineage: Eukaryota; Metazoa; Chordata; Mammalia; Carnivora; Mustelidae.